UCAGGGUGCCUUCUUCCAAGCUGAUUGCUUGGCUUCCCGUGGCUUUGCCCAGCCGACGCUCAUAGCAGAUAAACCAAUGACUUUCCUUUCAUACUAACUCUCGGUGUUUCAAUGUAGGAUAUCCACUACAACAAUUGUCCAGGAGAUUGUAGACAGAAAGGUCUUACUAGCACUGUGUGCUAUAUUUGGCAUUUUUACGCUGGUCGUAAUCAUCGUCAUAAUUUUAUGGAUUGUCACGAAAUUUAAUUGCGUCUGUAAGAAAAAAGAGAAUAAUUACGUGAACGGUAAUGCUGUUAAAAACAACAUCAACAGAUAGUUGAAGUGCUUCAAAACGGAAUCACGCAAGCCAGAAUUCAAUCCAUUGUUUGUCCCUCUUUGCUACGUAGUAUCAUAUAUUGUACUCAGACUGUCAUUGUCGACAAAUCGUUCGGCUUAAGAAUAAUUUUACAAUAGUGAAGAGUAGACAUUCAGCGCUAAAUUGUAUUGACAUGCGAGUUUCAACAUUUUCUGGUAUAUUGUGAAAAGGACUUGCUUAAAGCAUAAAUUUUGGAAA
Long non-coding RNA from Xenia sp. Carnegie-2017, 553 nucleotides. RefSeq lists it as uncharacterized. The transcript has 2 exons. Lineage: Eukaryota; Metazoa; Cnidaria; Anthozoa; Malacalcyonacea; Xeniidae. The record is from RefSeq and is a predicted model, not a curated record.